Molecule: non-coding RNA, 29 nt
Filed under: Mus musculus (house mouse)
Lineage: Eukaryota; Metazoa; Chordata; Mammalia; Rodentia; Muridae
Source: RNAcentral
UGGUGUUCCUGUCAGGGUUAUCGUGCUGC